This is a non-coding RNA of Paramuricea clavata, 220 nucleotides long. The record is from the annotation of a GenBank genome assembly. Lineage: Eukaryota; Metazoa; Cnidaria; Anthozoa; Malacalcyonacea; Plexauridae.
AGACGUCACGAGAAAUCAGAUGAACCUCGACUUGCCCUUAAACAUUUUGCAGCAGCGUUCAAGCUCUGUGACAAUGAUGCAAGGUUACGUGCGAAGAUUCGUAAUUGUUACAAAUUGAUGAAGAAACCUUCCUCAGGCGCAACCUGACUUCCUGAAGAUAGGUGUUGAAAUUUUUUUACAAAAGUAAAUUCAUUUAGUUUAUUAGUCUAUAGAUAGUUGA